CUCUUAUCAAGAGUGGUGGAGGGACUGGCCCUAUGAAACCCGGCAACCAGUACAAUUUUGUACAUGGUGCUAAAUCCUGCAACUAUUAUUAGUUGAAAGAUGAGUA
Terrisporobacter sp. is the source of this 106-nucleotide regulatory RNA element. It matches the Rfam family "SAM riboswitch aptamer (S box leader)". Rfam says of the family: The SAM riboswitch is found upstream of a number of genes which code for proteins involved in methionine or cysteine biosynthesis in Gram-positive bacteria. The SAM riboswitch acts at the level of transcription termination control. Lineage: Bacteria; Bacillati; Bacillota; Clostridia; Peptostreptococcales; Peptostreptococcaceae. The record is from Rfam.